AGGGUUUGAUCAUGGCUCAGGACGAACGCUGGCGGCGUGCUUAACACAUGCAAGUCAAGGGGGGGCCGCAAGGCUCAACCGGCGAACGGGUGCGUAACACGUGAGCGACCUACCUUUUUGUGGGGGAUAGCCGGCCCAACGGCCGGGUAAUACCGCAUACGCUUGGUUCUGGGCAUCUGGGGCCAAGGAAACUUUCGAGGCAGGAAGAGGGGCUCGCGGCCUAUCAGCUAGUUGGCGGGGUAAUGGCCCACCAAGGCAGUGACGGGUAGCUGGUCUGGGAGGAUGGCCAGCCACAUUGGGACUGAGAGACGGCCCAGACUCCUACGGGAGGCAGCAGUGGGGAAUCUUGCGCAAUGGCCGAAAGGCUGACGCAGCGACGCCGCGUGGGGGAGGAAGGGCUUCGGCUCGUAAACCCCUGUUGCCCGGGGCGAACAUCCUCUUUCGAGGGGACUGACGGUACCGGGUGAGGAAGCACCGGCUAACUCCGUGCCAGCAGCCGCGGUAAUACGGAGGGUGCGAGCGUUGUCCGGAAUCACUGGGCGUAAAGGGCGCGUAGGUGGCCGAGCAAGGUCGCGGUGAAAGCUUGGGGCUCAACCCCAAGUCGGCCGUGGCAACUACUGGGCUGGAGCACUGUAGGGGCAGAUGGAAUUCCGGGUGUAGCGGUGGAAUGCGUAGAGAUCCGGAAGAACACCGGUGGCGAAGGCGGUCUGCUGGGCAGUUGCUGACACUGAGGCGCGACAGCGUGGGGAGCAAACAGGAUUAGAUACCCUGGUAGUCCACGCCGUAAACGAUGGGCACUAGAUGCUUGGGGGAGCGACCCUCCGAGU
Molecule: ribosomal RNA, 827 nt
Filed under: uncultured Gemmatimonadota bacterium
Lineage: Bacteria; Pseudomonadati; Gemmatimonadota
Description: bacterial SSU rRNA
Rfam family: Bacterial small subunit ribosomal RNA
Source: RNAcentral